RNAcentral lists this ribosomal RNA (492 nucleotides) under uncultured bacterium. RNAcentral's name for it is "partial 16S ribosomal RNA". It matches the Rfam family "Bacterial small subunit ribosomal RNA", at positions 29 to 507 of the family's 1533-position model. The record is from RNAcentral.
AGUGAACGCUGGCGGUAGGCCUAACACAUGCAAGUCGAACGGCAGCACAGUAAGAGCUUGCUCUUACGGGUGGCGAGUGGCGGACGGGUGAGGAAUACAUCGGAAUCUACUUUUUCGUGGGGGAUAACGUAGGGAAACUUACGCUAAUACCGCAUACGACCUACGGGUGAAAGCAGGGGAUCUUCGGACCUUGCGCGAUUGAAUGAGCCGAUGUCGGAUUAGCUAGUUGGCGGGGUAAAGGCCCACCAAGGCGACGAUCCGUAGCUGGUCUGAGAGGAUGAUCAGCCACACUGGAACUGAGACACGGUCCAGACUCCUACGGGAGGCAGCAGUGGGGAAUAUUGGACAAAGGGCGCAAGCCUGAUCCAGCCAUACCGCGUGGGUGAAGAAGGCCUUCGGGUUGUAAAGCCCUUUUGUUGGGAAAGAAAAGCAGCAGGUUAAUACCCCGCUGUUCUGACGGUACCCAAAGCAUAAGCACCGGCUAACUUCGUG